Molecule: non-coding RNA, 83 nt
Filed under: bovine gut metagenome
Source: RNAcentral
UACUAGGGGUGUCCCGCCGCGGCGGGGCUGAGAACAUACCCUUGAACCUGAUACGGAUCAUACCGGCGUAGGAAAUGAAAAAA